Molecule: ribosomal RNA, 401 nt
Filed under: uncultured bacterium
Lineage: Bacteria
Description: bacterial SSU rRNA
Rfam family: Bacterial small subunit ribosomal RNA
Source: RNAcentral
CGGACGGGUGAGUAACACGUGGGUUAUCUACCUUGAGGUGAGGAAUACCAGGCGAGAAAUCGCCGAACAAAAACCGCAUACGUUUGGAGACAAACAAAGUUCCGGCAACGGGACGCCACAAGAUGAGCCUGCGGCCGAUUAGGCUAGUUGGUGGGGUAAAAGCCUACCAAGGCGACGAUCGGUAGCUGGUCUGAGAGGACGAUCAGCCACACUGGGAUUGAGAACGGCCCAGACUCCUACGGGGGGCAGCAGUGAGGAAUUUUCGUUAAUGGGGGCAACCCUGAACGAGCAACGCCGCGUGCAGGAAGAAGGUUUUCGGAUCGUAAACUGCUUUUCUUAGGGAAGAGUACGGACGGUACCUAAGGAAGAAGCCCCGGCUAACUACGUGCCAGCCGCCGCGG